UGGGGAAUAUUGCACAAUGGGCGCAAGCCUGAUGCAGCAACGCCGCGUGAGGGACGACGGCCUUCGGGUUGUAAACCUCUUUUAGUAGGGAAGAAGCGAAAGUGACGGUACCUGCAGAAAAAGCACCGGCUAACUACGUGCCAGCAGCCGCGGUAAUACGUAGGGUGCGAGCGUUGUCCGGAAUUAUUGGGCGUAAAGAGCUCGUAGGCGGUCUGUCGCGUCUGCUGUGAAAACCCGAGGCUCAACCUCGGGCCUGCAGUGGGUACGGGCAGACUAGAGUGCGGUAGGGGAGAAUGGAAUUCCUGGUGUAGCGGUGGAAUGCGCAGAUAUCAGGAGGAACACCGAUGGCGAAGGCAGUUCUCUGGGCCGUAACUGACGCUGAGGAGCGAAAGCGUGGGGAGCGAACAGGAUUAGAUACCCUGGUAGUCCACGCCGUAAACGUUGGGCGCUAGAUGUGGGGCACCAUUCCACGGUUUCCGUGUCGCAGCUAACGCAUUAAGCGCCCCGCCUGGGGAGUACGGCCGCAAGGCU
RNAcentral lists this ribosomal RNA (531 nucleotides) under uncultured bacterium. RNAcentral describes it as "partial 16S ribosomal RNA". It matches the Rfam family "Bacterial small subunit ribosomal RNA", at positions 355 to 895 of the family's 1533-position model. The record is from RNAcentral.